GACGAACGCUGGCGGCGUGCUUAACACAUGCAAGUCGAACGGAAAGGCCCUGCUUUUGUUGGGUGCUCGAGUGGCGAACGGGUGAGUAACACGUGAGUAACCUGUCCUUGACUUUGGGAUAACUUCUGGAAACUGGGGCUAAUACCGGAUAGGAGCUCCUGCUGCAUGGUGGGGGUUGGAAAGUUUCGGCGGUUGGGGAUUGACUCGCGGCUUAUCAGCUUGUUGGUGGGGUAGUGGCUUACCAAGGCUUUGACGGGUAGCCGGCCUGAGAGGGUGACCGGCCACAUUGGGACUGAGAUACGGCCCAGACUCCUACGGGAGGCAGCAGUGGGGAAUAUUGCACAAUGGGCGGAAGCCUGAUGCAGCAACGCCGCGUGCGGGAUGACGGCCUUCGGGUUGUAAACCGCUUUCGCCUGUGACGAAGCGUGAGUGACGGUAAUGGGUAAAGAAGCACCGGCUAACUACGUG
Molecule: ribosomal RNA, 468 nt
Filed under: uncultured bacterium
Lineage: Bacteria
Description: partial 16S ribosomal RNA
Rfam family: Bacterial small subunit ribosomal RNA
Source: RNAcentral